RNAcentral lists this ribosomal RNA (440 nucleotides) under uncultured bacterium. Its description in RNAcentral is "partial 16S ribosomal RNA". It matches the Rfam family "Bacterial small subunit ribosomal RNA", at positions 338 to 795 of the family's 1533-position model. The record is from RNAcentral.
CCUACGGGUGGCUGCAGUAGGGAAUAUUGCGCAAUGGGCGAAACCCUGAUGCAGCGACACCGCGUGAGUGUAGAGGUAAUUCGUUAGGUAAGGCUCUAUCAGCAGGGAAGAAAAUGACGGUACCUGAGUAAGAAACCCCGGCUAACUACGUGCCAGCAGCCGCGGUAAUACGUAGGGGGCAAGCGUUAUCCGGAUUUACUGGGGGUAAAGGGGGCGUAGACGGCAGUGCAAGUCUGGAGUGAAAGGCGGGGGCUCAACCCCCGGACUGCACUGGAUACUGUACGGCCGGAGUGCAGGAGAGGUAAAUGGAAUUCCUGGUGUAGCGGUGAAAUGCGUAGAUAUUAGGAGGAACACCAGUGGCGAAGGCGGCUUACUGGACUGUAACUGACGUUGAGGCUCGAAAGCGUGGGGAGCAAACAGGAUUAGAUACCCGAGUAGUC